GGCUCCGGUGACCUAAGUGGUUACAGCGUCCGCUUUGGAUGCGGGAGGUCGUGGGUUCGAGCUGCGACCGACCCAUGCCA
Molecule: non-coding RNA, 80 nt
Organism: Potamilus streckersoni
Lineage: Eukaryota; Metazoa; Mollusca; Bivalvia; Unionida; Unionidae
Source: the annotation of a GenBank genome assembly